This 496-nucleotide ribosomal RNA is filed under the name uncultured bacterium. RNAcentral describes it as "partial 16S ribosomal RNA". It matches the Rfam family "Bacterial small subunit ribosomal RNA", at positions 29 to 507 of the family's 1533-position model. The record is from RNAcentral.
AUGAACGCUGGCGGCGUGCCUAAUACAUGCAAGUCGAGCGCACAGACGAGGAGCUUGCUCCUCUGACGUUAGCGGCGGACGGGUGAGUAACACGUGGAUAACCUACCUAUAAGACUGGGAUAACUUCGGGAAACCGGAGCUAAUACCGGAUAAUAUAUUGAACCGCAUGGUUCAAUAGUGAAAGACGGUUUUGCUGUCACUUAUAGAUGGAUCCGCGCCGCAUUAGCUAGUUGGUAAGGUAACGGCUUACCAAGGCAACGAUGCGUAGCCGACCUGAGAGGGUGAUCGGCCACACUGGAACUGAGACACGGUCCAGACUCCUACGGGAGGCAGCAGUAGGGAAUCUUCCGCAAUGGGCGAAAGCCUGACGGAGCAACGCCGCGUGAGUGAUGAAGGUCUUCGGAUCGUAAAACUCUGUUAUUAGGGAAGAACAAAUGUGUAAGUAACUAUGCACGUCUUGACGGUACCUAAUCUGAAAGCCACGGCUAACUACGUG